This 36-nucleotide transfer RNA is filed under the name Carex scirpoidea. RNAcentral describes it as "partial tRNA-Phe". RNAcentral also lists the same sequence under 1 other name. Lineage: Eukaryota; Viridiplantae; Streptophyta; Magnoliopsida; Poales; Cyperaceae. The record is from RNAcentral.
GUCGGGAUAGCUCAGUCGGUAGAGCAGAGGACUGAA